GACGAACGCUGGCGGCGUGCUUAAUACAUGCAAGUCGAACGGAAGUAGCAAUACUUUAGUGGCGCACGGGUGAGGAACACGUAGAUGAUCUGCCCUUGAGAUCGAGAUAACCCCGGGAAACUGGGGCUAAUACCGGAUAAUGCAUUAUUAUUGGAUUAAUAAUGUUAAAGCGGCGCAAGUCGCACUUGAGGAUGAGUCUGCGACCUAUCAGUUAGUUGGCGGUGUAAUGGACCACCAAGGCAAAGACGGGUAGCUGAUCUGAGAGGAUGAUCAGCCACACUGGGACUGAGACACGGCCCAGACUCCUACGGGAGGCAGCAGUAGGGAAUAUUGCGCAAUGGGGGAAACCCUGACGCAGCGACGCCGCGUGAGUGAUGAAGGCCUUUCUGGUUGUAAAGCUCUGUAAGGAGGGAAGAAUGUCAGGCAGUAACGUGUCUGAGUGACGGUACCUCCGGAGUAAGGACCGGACUAAAGUACGUGCCAGCACG
This 488-nucleotide ribosomal RNA is filed under the name uncultured bacterium. Its description in RNAcentral is "bacterial SSU rRNA". It matches the Rfam family "Bacterial small subunit ribosomal RNA", at positions 28 to 515 of the family's 1533-position model. The record is from RNAcentral.